RNAcentral lists this ribosomal RNA (606 nucleotides) under Bacillus sp. CH145b. RNAcentral describes it as "bacterial SSU rRNA". It matches the Rfam family "Bacterial small subunit ribosomal RNA", at positions 60 to 648 of the family's 1533-position model. Lineage: Bacteria; Bacillati; Bacillota; Bacilli; Caryophanales; Bacillaceae. The record is from RNAcentral.
AGUCGAGCGGACCUUUUAAAGCUUGCUUUUGAAAGGUCAGCGGCGGACGGGUGAGUAACACGUGGGCAACCUGCCUGUAAGACUGGGAUAACUUCGGGAAACCGGAGCUAAUACCGGAUAAUAUAAGGAACCUCCUGGUUCUUUAUUGAAAGAUGGUUUCGGCUAUCACUUACAGAUGGGCCCGCGGCGCAUUAGCUAGUUGGUGAGGUAAUGGCUCACCAAGGCGACGAUGCGUAGCCGACCUGAGAGGGUGAUCGGCCACACUGGGACUGAGACACGGCCCAGACUCCUACGGGAGGCAGCAGUAGGGAAUCUUCCACAAUGGACGAAAGUCUGAUGGAGCAACGCCGCGUGAGCGAUGAAGGCCUUCGGGUCGUAAAGCUCUGUUGUUAGGGAAGAACAAGUGCGAGAGUAACUGCUCGCACCUUGACGGUACCUAACCAGAAAGCCACGGCUAACUACGUGCCAGCAGCCGCGGUAAUACGUAGGUGGCAAGCGUUGUCCGGAAUUAUUGGGCGUAAAGCGCGCGCAGGUGGUCCUUUAAGUCUGAUGUGAAAGCCCACGGCUCAACCGUGGAGGGUCAUUGGAAACUGGGGGACUUGAGUG